This 965-nucleotide long non-coding RNA is filed under the name Sus scrofa (pig). Its description in RNAcentral is "lncRNA (ENSSSCG00000041050.2)". The record is from RNAcentral. Lineage: Eukaryota; Metazoa; Chordata; Mammalia; Artiodactyla; Suidae.
AAGGACCGAAGGGUGGGAGUUUCGCCCCCAUGGGCCGCAGGUCCUGAGGAUUAUACCACACCGUCUUGAUUGCCAUUUUAUUCGUGAGAUCCGAUCAGCCCAGGUGAUCUAUGUAAGAAUUGGACUAAAUGUGGAAAUCCACUUCUGGAAAAUGUCUGACAGCCACUCUUUACCACUGUUGCCUGCAACAGAGCUGGUCACGCAUCGCAAGGGAUUAGGACCAAAAUUGAGGCAUCCAGCACCCCGUGUUUCCCACCUGGGUGGAAAAGCGGAGGGAAGCGCCAGGGCGGAACUGGCUGCUGUGUCUCAAGGACUCUAGGAGAAGCCUCGGUCCCCAGGGCGGCAAAGGGGACCCGAGUGAGGCUUGAGGACUUAGAAAUGACAAUGGCGCCAGGGAGCGUCCCAGAUACCGGCUUCCAAGCGGCUAAAGCGGCUGAGGCGCGAAGAAGAAGCAGCUGCCUCGCUUCAGAUAGACGGGCACUUGCUGUCCCCUGCCGAGCCUGGAACAGGCUGCUCGCCGGGACCACGGCCUCCUACUGCCUCCUCUCACCACCUUCAAGAGACACCAUCUCCUAAAGACUCAAAGGUGAAAAGCAAAACCUGAACGCGGCCAUGAGCCGCAUCCAGGAAAAGAAACACCUACGACGGCUCUGCGCCUCCCCCCGCCCCAUUGCAUGCCUCCCUCCUGACACCCCUUCAAAGGCACACGGGGACACAGGUCCCCGCAGCCUCGUGGCCACUGCUUCUCAUCACGCUGGCUGCACAUCCCAGCCGCAGGAGCACCAAGUCAGACGGGGAAACAACCGCACGGCCCGGCCCUGCUGCUCAGGACAGGCUCAGCGCUGACAAGACUGGUGGUGGAGAGAAAUUGCCAAGAUGCUAAGAAACUUGAGAGGCCACCUCUGCAGCAGGACUGGGACGGGUGAGGGGAAAAGAACUUACUUUCAUUUUAUACUUUUUCCAUG